GUAGGUGAACCUGCGGAAGGAUCAUUACAAAUCCAAACAAAUACCCGUUGAAAUGUUCUCGGCCUUGGUUGUUGCGUGCGUCAUGUGUUUAUUUACAUAUAAGCAUGCCGUGUAAAAAUGGAAGUGUUAUCAUUUCCACCCAAGGACCGGUAUUCUAACAACAACGUUACUUAUUAUGGCCAUACUUAAACAGUGUGAAAAAAAAACAACUUUUAACAAUGGAUCUCUAGGCUCUUGCAUCGAUGAAGAA
This 250-nucleotide unclassified non-coding RNA is filed under the name plant metagenome. RNAcentral's name for it is "partial contains small subunit ribosomal RNA, internal transcribed spacer 1, and 5.8S ribosomal RNA". The stretch from base 208 to 250 matches the Rfam family "5.8S ribosomal RNA", at positions 1 to 43 of the family's 154-position model. The record is from RNAcentral.